AUGGCUACCCAGUCCAAUAUUCUUGCCUGGAGANNNNNNNNNNNNNNNNNNNNNNNNNNNNNNNNNNNNNNNNNNNNNNNNNNNNNNNNNNNNNNNNNNNNNNNNNNNNNNNNNNNNNNNNNNNNNNNNNNNCCCCUGGAGAAGGGAAUGGCUACCCAGUCCAAUAUUCUUGCCUGGAGAAUUCCAUGUACGGAGAAGCCUGACAGGAUACAGCUCAUGGGGUCUCAAGAGUCCAGCAUGACGGUGACUGAGCAUGCCCACAUGAACAUAGGCUGCUCUCAACUGGAAGCGAUGUUGGCUUCUCUGUUAAGAAUAAUAAGAAAAUAAUAAAAUAAGUAAGAUUAAAAAAUAAAGAUAAGGAAUAUUGGAACAAGUAAAGUAAGUUUUAUUCAUGGACAUGUACAGAAUGUAUACUCAAAACAGAAUAUGCUGUUUUUGAACAUAUGUAGAGUAGUUCAGCUAAAGUACAGUUAAGAUGUAAAUUUGCUGCUCUGAAUACACAUAAUAGAAAACAAGGGACUAAGAAUUAAUUGGAAAAAAACCCCUGAUGUAAAUUGAAUUUUACAACUUAAAUUUAACAGGUAAACAUAAGGAACGUAGAAGGAAGAAAAUAAUGAAAAUUAGAGCAGGUGAUAAGGAAAUGGAAAAACAAAACCAGGAAACAUGGGUGACACCAAAAGCUGGUUCUUUGAAAAGAAGAAUAGAAUAUGUUUAGGACGGGCCGUGGUACAUGAGAAGAGGAACAGAGGGCCCUGAAGUAACUGUUAGUAGGUUAGGCAGAAAAUCUGGAGCUGUGUUGCAGAAGCCAAGAGAAGAAAGAGCAGGCAGCUGUGUCAAACGCAACUGUUGGGUGUUUCGACACAGAAGUGCCUGGUACCCUUGACAAAACUAGUCCCAGUGAAAUGGUGGAGACAAUUCUGCUUGGAGUGGGUUGAAGCAAAGAUUGGGAAGUGACAACAGUAAUUUACCAGCAGUCACAAAAGCUCCUUUUGAUAACGAUUUUUAUGUGUAGAGAGGGCUUCCCUGGUGGCUUAGAUAGUAAAGAGCCUGCCUGUAAUGCAGGAGAUCUGGGUUUGAUCCCUGGGUCACGAAGAUCCCCGGGAGAAGGGAAUGACUACCCAUUCUAGUAUUUUUGAUGGAGAAUUCCAUGGACAGAGGAGCCUGAUGGCUACAAUCCAUGGGAUUGCAAAGAGUCAGACACAACUGAAUGACUUAACAUUUUUAUGUACAGGAAGUAGAGUUAGAAGGGGCAUAUAGUUACAGGACAAUUCCCUCUUUUAAAAUGAGAUACAGGAGUAUGUUUAUGUGAUAUUGGACAGUCCGUUUGAAAACUGAUGACUCAGGUGAACAAGAGUAAGUUUAGGAACAAAACCCCUGAAAAGGUAACAUUAAAUGGAAGGUGAGUUGGUUUUCUGGUACCAGCAAGGACAUUUCACAGAAGUUGUGGAUAGGUCGUAGUUUUGAUGUGGGUAAAACACUGAGUAGCUCUCUAAUUGUUUCUGUAUUACUAAUGAACUAUAAAACAAAACAUCCUUUGGCAAGUGAGGAUGUAAGAGAAGGGAGGAGAAAGUGUGAAAUGAGGGUUUUAAAGGGUAAAAUUAGUGUUCUCAAAGUAUAAAGGAUUGUCAGAUGAUGUUGAGUCCUCAUUUGGGAUUUGUGGCCAAAAAUGUAAGUGAAUCGGGUACCCCACUUGUAAAUGUGUCUCUUAACAAUGUUGAACGUUGUUGAGCGGGUAUUGAGUUGGAGCAUGAUUGAGUUUCACAGCAAUGAGGGUUUGCCAUGCAAAUGUGAAAGAGGUACUGAAAAGCAGAGGAGUCAAGGAAUUUUGUAAAGGAGCAGUUACAGUAGAGAAUCAUAGCGUAUUGCCUGGGCGAGGAGAUACAUGAAGACAUGGCUGGGAUGUAUGGUGGUGAAUGAGGAAGGAUCAGUGGACUAGAAGUUUUGAGGUUGAAGAAAACUGAAUAUUCCAGUGCAAGACUAUUUGAAUAUUCUGGGGACAAGAGCUAAUUAUUUCAAAUCGAUGCUCUAAAUGCUCUCAACACAUCUAUUACAAGACUUACUUAGGAUACGUGAAAAAUUAAAACGUCACAAAGUUCAAGAAUAUAGUUUGAUUAUAGUGUUUAUAUCAGUGCAUCAUAAGAUUUAAGAAUUUUCUGGGAAGGUCCAUGCCGUUCUACUCUUAGACACAUAAAUGAUGAGGAAAAUUGUGUUUAUAGUGUUUAUAAAUUGUCUAUAGGUUGUUUAUAAAUUGUCUAUAAGUUGUUUAUAAAUUGAGUUAUAAUUUAGAUCUGCUCAAAUAGUAUAGACAGUAGUGGUGUUCAUUUGCCAAAUUGUGUCCAGCUUUUUGCAACCCAAUGAAUUGCAGCAUGCCAGGUUUCCUUGUCCUUCACUAUCGCCCAGAGUCUACUGAAACUCAUGUCCAUUC
Molecule: long non-coding RNA, 2425 nt
Filed under: Capra hircus (goat)
Lineage: Eukaryota; Metazoa; Chordata; Mammalia; Artiodactyla; Bovidae
Description: lncRNA (ENSCHIG00010022566.1)
Source: RNAcentral